Molecule: ribosomal RNA, 1347 nt
Filed under: Triticum aestivum (bread wheat)
Lineage: Eukaryota; Viridiplantae; Streptophyta; Magnoliopsida; Poales; Poaceae
Description: partial small subunit ribosomal RNA
Source: RNAcentral
AUGCAGCAGAGGAUGAAGCAGGCGGCGGCGGUAGCGGCGCAGCAGCAGCAGCAGAUGAUGCAGCAGGCGCUACUCAUGCACCACCACCAGCAGCAGGCGGCGGCCGCGGCGGCCGCGGUGCCGCCCAUGUUCCCGCCGCACCACGCGCACCCGGGUCUCCUCGCCGCGCCGCAUAUAGAGCCCAUCGUUAGUGGGAACCUGCCUCCUGGGUUUGAUUCAAGCACGUGCCGCAGUGUGUAUGUUGGCAAUAUCCAUCUUCAAGUCACAGAUUCACUACUGCAUGAAGUUUUCCAGAGUAUUGGUCCAGUUGAAGGGUGUAAGCUCAUUAGGAAAGAAAAGUCAUCUUUUGGUUUUGUUGACUAUUAUGACCGUAGAUAUGCUGCAAUUGCUAUUGUGUCACUCAAUGGUAGACAACUGUUUGGCCAGCCAAUAAAAGUCAAUUGGGCAUACGCAAGUACCCAGAGAGAGGAUACAUCAGGUCAUUUUAACAUCUUUGUCGGGGAUCUUUGCCCGGAGGUUACGGAUGCUGCUUUGUUUGCUUUUUUCUCGGCAUAUUCUACCUGUUCAGAUGCUAGAGUUAUGUGGGAUCAGCAGACUGGACGAUCUAGAGGGUUUGGUUUCGUUUCUUUUAGGAAUCAGCAGGAUGCACAAACUGCCAUGAAUGAGUUGAAUGGAAAGUGGCUUGGCAACCGCCAAAUUCGUUGCAAUUGGGCGACGAAGGGCGCUAAUGCUGGUGAAGAGAAGCAAAGUACAGACUCCAAGGGUAUGGUGGAAUUGAUAAACGGCUCAUCAGAGGCUGGCAAGGAGAAUGCAAACGAAGAUGGUCCUGAAAAUAACCCACAGUAUACAACUGUUUAUGUUGGCAAUCUUCCCCAUGAUAUCAACAGCAAUGAUGUGCAUCGAUUUUUCCAUUUACUCGGGGCUGGCUCAAUUGAGGAGGUCCGUGUAACACGCGAUAAAGGAUUUGGCUUUGUGAGAUAUAGUACCCAUGAAGAAGCUGCACAAGCAAUACAGACGGGUAAUGGCCAACUUAUUGGCGGGAGGCAGAUCAAGUGCUCUUGGGGAAGCAAACCAACUCCACCAGGGACAGCAUCUGCGCCUCUGCCUCCUCCGGCAUUAGCGCCAUACACCCCUGGCGUGUCAGCAGCUGACCUCAUCUCCUACGACCGAUCCCUUGCUCUGAGCAAGAUGGCUGCUGACCCGGCCCUGGUGGGUCAGCACGCCGCCCUGAGGCAGGCCGCGAUGGAUAUGGGCGCCGGCGCCCGCAAGGCCAUCUUUGACGGGGGCUUCCAGAGUGUCAACCCUCAGCAGCAGCAGCAGCAACAGCAGCAGCUCAUGUACUACUGA